AUACGUAGGGAGCGAGCGUUGUCCGGAAUUACUGGGUGUAAAGGGAGCGUAGGCGGGAGUGCAAGUCAGAUGUGAAAUACAUGGGCUCAACCCAUGGGCUGCAUUUGAAACUGCAUUUCUUGAGUGAAGUAGAGGUAAGCGGAAUUCCUGGUGUAGCGGUGAAAUGCGUAGAUAUCAGGAGGAACACCGGUGGCGAAGGCGGCUUACUGGGCUUUUACUGACGCUGAGGCUCGAAAGCGUGGGGAGCAAACAGGAUUAGAUACCCUGGUAGUCCACGCUGUAAACGAUGAUUACUAGGUGUGGGGGGACUGACCCCUUCCGUGCCGCAGUUAACACAAUAAGUAAUCCACCUGGGGAGUACGGCCGCAAG
Molecule: ribosomal RNA, 370 nt
Filed under: uncultured bacterium
Lineage: Bacteria
Description: partial 16S ribosomal RNA
Rfam family: Bacterial small subunit ribosomal RNA
Source: RNAcentral